This 254-nucleotide ribosomal RNA is filed under the name uncultured bacterium. RNAcentral describes it as "partial 16S ribosomal RNA". It matches the Rfam family "Bacterial small subunit ribosomal RNA", at positions 524 to 776 of the family's 1533-position model. The record is from RNAcentral.
UACGUAGGGGGCGAGGGUUGUCCGGAUUUAUUGGGCGUAAAGAGCUCGUAGGCGGUUUGGCAAGUCGGAUGUGAAAACUCCAGGCUCAACCUGGAGACGCCACUCGAGACUGCCAUGACUAGAGUCCGGUAGGGGACCACGGAAUUCCUGGUGUAGCGGUGAAAUGCGCAGAUAUCAGGAGGAACACCGAUGGCGAAGGCAAUCCCCUGGACCUGUACUGACGCUCAUGCACGAAAGCGUGGGGAGCAAACAGG